Long non-coding RNA from Pseudopipra pipra, 798 nucleotides. RefSeq lists it as uncharacterized. The transcript has 2 exons. The record is from RefSeq and is a predicted model, not a curated record. NCBI's taxonomy places the organism in Eukaryota, Metazoa, Chordata, Aves, Passeriformes, Pipridae.
AUGGCAAAGGGGUGUUUACUUCUGUGUUUUGCACGUUGGUGUUACCCCCGGGACAGCUCGGAGUGUGUGACAGCAGCGUACAAAUCACGCAUUCAAAAGUCAGAGCCCUUUCACUGGCAAGGGAUGGGAGCUGCUCGGAGCCGGCCAGCUGCCCCAGUUCUGCUUCCCAGUUCUGCUUCCCAGCGAGGCCGCUUUCCCAGCCCCGCUCUGGGCAUGUUUUACAGACAGACGCACCGAGGAUGCAUCACCCGGACUCCCGGCCAGCCCCGUCCGGGGGUCUGUGUCCCGCGGGUCACAUCACAGCCCUGAGGCUGCUGGAACCGCUGCAAAGCUGCUGGUCCCUGCAUCCAUCAGCUCCCGCGCCGCUCCUCUGGAGCAGAGAGCUCGUGUUUAACGACCGCGUGUGUUUUCACUCAAGCAUUACAUCACCCGGCAACGCCAGCCGGGGGACGGACGGACGGACGGACAGACGGGCCAGCCCGGCUGUGCUGCCCCGGACGACGCUCAUCCCCUCUCCACAUCCUGGGGUGCUCCAUGUCCCCAGCCUGCAGCCUUUUGCAAGGAUGCAGGUGAAUAGAAAAUCCACUCCCAAUCCCACACAAGUCCAUGCAAAACCCACCGGGGGGCCAGCAGCUCAUCCACACCCCCACCAACACCAUCCCCUGGCACGUCCCAGCGCGGGGUGUGGAGGGCAAAACGUUCCCUAAUUCCCACCUCCCAGAUUUCCUGCGGCCACAGCCAUCAGCACUUUCCCUAAAAUAAAGUGGGAGCUGAGACAAGCCAGACAGCCGGGCUCCA